Long non-coding RNA from Homo sapiens (human), 437 nucleotides. RefSeq lists it as uncharacterized. Lineage: Eukaryota; Metazoa; Chordata; Mammalia; Primates; Hominidae. The record is from RefSeq and is a predicted model, not a curated record. The transcript is spliced from 2 exons.
AGUGUGUGUUGGAAACAGAAGUCAGUAAGGAGUGUGCUGAGAAGUGAGGAGAAGAAUAAAACUGGAUAUGUGAUGACGCCCAAUGGAUACCUGCACUUGUGAAGUCCCUGUCUCAUCGAUCUAAGCGAAGCUAUAUGUGACUUGCUUUGGCCAGUGGCCAUUACCAGAUGAGAUGCCCGCGUACACAGGAAAAGCCCUUUUGAAUUGGGGCUUGGACAUUCUUGCUCUUGAUAACACUGCUGCCAUGUAGAAGCCUGGGUUAGCCCAUCUGAGGACACGACCAUGAAGAGCAGACAUGAGCCUUCCUAGCUGAGGCCACAAGCUGACACACCAGCUGAUUACAGCCACAUGAGUGAACUCAGGCAAGUCAACAAGUGAACUGACAAGGCGGGCUUAGCUGGAAUCAUAGGCAAAUAAAUGAUUGGUCUUUUAAAUCA